UUGAGAGAAGUGUCUGGACACGGGAGCAGGGGAUACGGGGUCUGACACGGGGGGAGGCUGGAAACGCUGCCGUGCGUCGUUUUCUGGACAAGUCACGCGUCCUUUAAAAGCCACGGCCACAACGACACACGUCAAAUAAAGGUUCCUGGAACACAAACAUUUUUUUCUUUUGCUUUUUAUGACUGUAUGGACUGACAUCUCAGCUUCUUAACUCCCUGGUAGAGUUUAAAUGAAAUGCACACAUUCCACUAGUAUUUACGUUUUAAAUGUAUUUAUUUUGUGUCGUUAUGGCAGACCCCUUUAAUACAUCACACGCCUGCAGCUUCUUUCUGCAGCUGUAGACCCUCAGCGUCCUGUGAAGGUGUGUGUGAGUGCUUUCAGCUGGCAGCGCAGCACUAGAGGGCACUGCAGUGUUUCCCUGGCUCUGACCCCUGACUGGACACUGAGGAGACGGGUCUGGAUCCCCGUGAAAACCCUGGGCUCCACCACCAGGAGCCGAGCCCACCCCUCCCGAGCGUCCAACCCAACAACAGAACCACGGAUUUGACGCUUUGUAUUUAUCAAGAUAGUCUGUGAAGUGUUUACAUCAGAUGCGACUGGGUGACAGGCCCUAUCUGAGGCCGAGGAGCUCCGCUGUCAUGUUGAUUUAUGGGAGCAUCACGCCACAACUUGUCCAAACUGAAGCCCGCAGUUCAUUAAUUAGGGAGCUUCGACUUUGAAGUUGGGCGCUUCGACAGCGCGUGGACGUGUGAGUGUGUGCGUGUGGUGGUGGUGGUGGUGUGUGUGUGUGUGUGUGUGUGUGUGUGUGCGCGCGCGUGUGCGUGUGUGCGUGUGCGUCCGCUUUUUACACGGGGCUUCGUUUUCAACGCUUCUCCUGUUGUCCACAAAUUCAACCGCGAUGGGGACGGGAGGAGAACGAGAAGAAGAAGAAAUUCCCCGGUGGCUUUUGAACUUCUUCUGACCACGCGAUAAUAAUUUGCUUUGUCCACAGCGAUGCCUGCAUCCGCCAGUCAUUAACGCGCAUUAAACCGCUGCCUGAGAGCGAGCCAGGCCGGGGUGGAGGUAGCAAAGGGGAGAGGGAGCAGGAAAGAUGGAGAUGGAGAGAGAGGAGGAGAAAAACUCAAUGCAGGCAACAGAGCUGGGAGCUCUCUCCGCACUGAUAUCUCACAAUUACAUGCCUUCUCUUCCUCUGCCAUUUCCAUGUUAAUUACCCAGAAAAGCCUUUCAGAUUUAUACGCCGUCCCCCCUGCUGCCUUUUACGCUGUCCUACAUGGGGCUCACAGGGACGACCACAGAACUCUUGUUUACUUGAUAAAUAACAGAUCAAUGAAUGGAGGGAGCCGGUUCAGUCAAAUACUCCUUACAUUCUCAGACCAGUACCCGCCAGUUGUUCUCAUUUAUCCAGGAAAUCUGACAUGCUAAUCGUGCGUGCACUUGAUCCACCCCCCCACUCCCCUCUCUCCGCUCCGCUUCAACCACAGCCUGAAAGCAGAUGGGUUUGAGGGAGGGAGCGCACAACUUCCAUGCUGUGUCUGGCCAACAGGCUGGGUAAUGGCAGGCGCUGGGAAUGAUGUCAGCCUACCUCUUUGCUCUGCUUGCUGCCCGCAUGCUGCUGCUGUUGCUGCUGCUGUAGGAGCUGGAGGUGGAGCUGUUCCUGCUGCUUCUUGUAGAACUCUUGGAGUUGCUGCUGCAGGAGAAAGAGGAAGGCGACACGUGAGGGAAAGGCCACCAGUCAAACAGACUCAGCAGAGGGGCUGUGAGGGAAUUUGGUCUUUCAGGUCAAAGGUCAAAUAUUCACUAAUGCACCAAAAGACAAGGCUGUGAACACGAUUAAUGGCAGCUGUACAUUACCUGCUGUAACAUGAGGGCCUGCUGCUGCUGGAGAAGAACCUGGAGCUGCUGAGGGCUCAGGACUUGCUGCUGAAGGAUCUGCUGCAUCUGCUGAGGAGUUAUCACUUGAGGUGUCAUCAUAGCCACUGACACUGGAACCUGCACAGAGAAACCAAACACUUGCUUUGGACUGAAUGCUGGGGCCAAUUAUGAGCGAGGUGCGGAUCAUGCACGUUGAGUAAACAGUCAGUCACAUCCACCCUGACCUCCAACGGCAUUAGAUCUACUCUGCAUCUGCUGCGAUACUUCUUGGGGUUUCUGGUUUAUCAAAUAAAGCCGACUUCCCAUACCUGAGGGCUCCAAUGAUUGCACACGCACGACAUGUCACGCGAGAACACUUUUUAUACAGAUGCUGUCAACAGCGAUCUGUUAUUGUGAAGCUCCAGAGUGCCUGGAGGGGGAGCCAUAGAGAAGAACACACAGGCCUCUAACUAACUCCCAGUAGAAAGGUGUGAGUGCAUGACUCCUCAAAACAAGUGAUUUGUUGUGACACUAAAAAAAAAAAAAGCCCCCACA
Molecule: long non-coding RNA, 2406 nt
Organism: Betta splendens (Siamese fighting fish)
Lineage: Eukaryota; Metazoa; Chordata; Actinopteri; Anabantiformes; Osphronemidae
Exons: 2
Source: RefSeq, a predicted model, not a curated record